CUACGGGUUGCAGCAGUGAGGAAUUUUGCGCAAUGGGGGAAACCCUGACGCAGCAACGCCGCGUGAGCGAAGAAGGCCCUCGGGUCGUAAAGCUCUGUCAAGUGGGAAAAAAAUCUUUUGAUCAAUAGUCAAAAGACUUGAUGGUACCACUGGAGGAAGCACCGGCUAACUCCGUGCCAGCAGCCGCGGUAAUACGGAGGGUGCAAGCGUUGUUCGGAUUUACUGGGCGUAAAGGGCGUGUAGGCGGUUUAGCAAGUCAGAUGUGAAGGCCCUGGGCUCAACCCGGGAAGCGCAUUUGAAACUGCUUCACUAGAGUAUGGGAGAGGAGAUUGGAAUUCCUGGUGUAGAGGUGAAAUUCGUAGAUAUCAGGAGGAACACCCGUGGCGAAGGCGAUUCUCUGGACCAAUACUGACGCUGAGACGCGAAAGCGUGGGGAGCAAACAGGAUUAGAUACCCUCGUAGUC
RNAcentral lists this ribosomal RNA (464 nucleotides) under uncultured bacterium. Its description in RNAcentral is "partial 16S ribosomal RNA". It matches the Rfam family "Bacterial small subunit ribosomal RNA", at positions 339 to 795 of the family's 1533-position model. The record is from RNAcentral.